CCGCAUACGUCCUACGGGAGAAAGCAGGGGACCUUCGGGCCUUGCGCUAUCAGAUGAGCCUAGGUCGGAUUAGCUAGUUGGUGAGGUAAUGGCUCACCAAGGCUACGAUCCGUAACUGGUCUGAGAGGAUGAUCAGUCCCACUGGAACUGAGACACGGUCCAGACUCCUACGGGAGGCAGCAGUGGGGAAUAUUGGACAAUGGGCGAAAGCCUGAUCCAGCCAUGCCGCGUGUGUGAAGAAGGUCUUCGGAUUGUAAAGCACUUUAAGUUGGGAGGAAGGGCAUUAACCUAAUACGUUAGUGCUUUGACGUUACCGACAGAAUAAGCACCGGCUAACUCUGUGCCAGCAGCCGCGGUAAUACAGAGGGUGCAAGCGUUAAUCGGAAUUACUGGGCGUAAAGCGCGCGUAGGUGGUUUGUUAAGUUGAAUGUGAAAUCCCCGGGCUCAACCUGGGAACUGCAUCCAAAACUGGCAAGCUAGAGUAUGGUAGAGGGUAGUGGAAUUUCCUGUGUAGCGGUGAAAUGCGUAGAUAUAGGAAGGAACACCAG
RNAcentral lists this ribosomal RNA (548 nucleotides) under Pseudomonas sp. RNAcentral's name for it is "bacterial SSU rRNA". It matches the Rfam family "Bacterial small subunit ribosomal RNA", at positions 169 to 712 of the family's 1533-position model. The record is from RNAcentral. Lineage: Bacteria; Pseudomonadati; Pseudomonadota; Gammaproteobacteria; Pseudomonadales; Pseudomonadaceae.